This is a long non-coding RNA of Arabidopsis thaliana (thale cress), 210 nucleotides long. RefSeq annotates it as other RNA. The transcript has a single exon. Lineage: Eukaryota; Viridiplantae; Streptophyta; Magnoliopsida; Brassicales; Brassicaceae. The record is from RefSeq.
UAAUGCCGUGAACCGUACUUCCUUACCAUCUCGUUAGGGGCCAACAUCCUUAUAGAGUAUAUUAUGUAUAUAUUAUGUUAGUAUAUGGUUUGGGUCGACCAAUGCUAGGGUUGUACCAUUCCAACGUGCAUUGCUGGAUACUUGGUCGUUCGGUUCUGAUGUUAUUACUCUGUCUGACGAUAUUAUUCUGUUCUGAUGAUUAAGUUAUGU